GGCGCAGAUUCAGUGGGCCAAAGGGCCUGUUUCCGUCCUGUAUCUCAAAACUAAACUAAACUAAAGUUCACUUGGCACCCACACCUUCUGGCGUAUUAAAGGAGUAUCUAAAGGGGAAUUACUAGAUUCAUGAUAAAUGAGUUCUGAUACACAUAUUAUUACUAUAUAAUCCAAGUCAACAGGGUCAACCAAGUCCUGUCACAGGUAGCUUAUUUAAUUGCUUGCUUUUCCUCAUCUAAUGCACAAAUUCCAGUUAGUAAAUAAUUUGUUUUAUUAACUUUGGGUUUAUUAUUAUUUGCUAUGUUUGACAAUGGGACAUCCACUUUAAAAACCUAAUCUUUGUCUUAAAAUUUAAAGCAAAUUUAAAACAAAUUUAAAGCAUUUAAUUUUAACGGUGGUACAGCUGGUAGAGCUGCAGCCUCACGGAACCAGAGAUCCCGAUGCUGACCUCGGACUAUCUGUGUGGAGUUUGCGUGUUCUCCCUAUGACCGCGUAGGUUUCUCCCAGGUGCUCCGGUUUCCUCGCACAUCCCAUUAGCCCCUGUAAAAUGGCCUCUCAUGUGUAGGGAUGAGAAAGUGGAAUAACAGAACUAGUAUGAGUGGGUGUUCAAUAAUUGGUCUGGACUCGAUGGGCCGAAGGGCCUGUUUACACAUUGUAUCUGCAAACGACACUAAGCUAAAGCCUUCCAUUUUUUUUAACGUUACUUUAAUGCUCUGGCCUCUAGUUACUGGUCCACGCACAGUGAAAAAGUUCUCCCUAAGUUACUGUAUCAAAACCCCUCUGAACCCCUCAGCAGUUCAGAACUGCUCUUAGAUCUGUCAUACUCUGAGCAGAAUUAGAUUCUCCACGGAACUAUAGUUCCCUGUCCUGUUAUCGUUCCGGCAAACCCCUCCUUUACCCUUUUCCAAACCUUGACAUUGUCUUAAUUGAAGCUCAUGCAAGGUUAUAGUUGUGAGAGAAAUUGCCCAUUCUCCGAAGUAUGGGCACUUUCUGCUCCGCACUUGCAUCCAUUAGGAACCAGUUCAAACUCAUUAGACCAUUGAUCAUUAUUAAAUUAAUGACUUUCUAUCAAAUCCCAGCACCCAGUUGUGAAAGGACAGUAUUUAAACGCCGCUAUGCCAGUCUAUUCACCCUAUUAAGCAGCUCGUGGGCUAUUAUGUUUGAUGGACCUGUAACAGUUCAAUAUUUUUAUGGAGGUUUGUUUUUAGAAUUAAUUUAAAUGAGCAAUAAUCUUUAUUGCCGAUCCCAUAAGUGGGCACUUUUUCAAUUUUUUAAAAUAAUAAACUCUUUUACUUGUCGUGUUACUGAUAGAAUAGCAAUAUUAACAGUUCUACAGCUGCCACUAAUUAAGAAAUACUGUUCCAUUGGAGCCUAUUAAAUGGAGCACAGUAAUGUGUUUUAAUUAAUUAAUUUCGCUGUUUUAAAAAGAUGGGCCUUGCAAAGUAAUGUCCAAGAGAACACUAAUGCACAUAAGCGGCCACAUAAAAAUAACUCCAUUCCCACGAAUGACAGGGUAUGAAUGAGGUUAUUGUUUGUAAACUGUAGAUGGGAGCAAGACUGGCAGGGGACACAACGCAAUCAGGAAAUAUGAAGUGGUUAAAAUAAAAACAGACUUUGCUGUAAAUGUCCCAAACGUCAAGCUGAUUACACAGCCCUAAUGUGCUUUUUUAAAAAAGAAGACAUAUUCCAAGCAGCAGAUCAUUUUUAAUUCCCUUAAAGACCCAACAGUUGGGCUUAAUGGAUACUCAGGCAUGUUCACUCAUUUAUUUAGCGAACGUCUCAGGAUAUGAAAUUUCUGCAGAGAAAUUUAACCAGAUAUUUGCCCUUGCACCAAUGAUAUGUCUAAACGAAGCAAGAAAAUGGAGAGAUGAUGAGUUCAACCGACUCAAAACAAAAUGGAUUUCCCGGCAAAGAAUUGUGUAGAGUGUGCGAGAACAGCUCGUUGUGCCAAUCAACCCAUGUCGACAUUUAUGGUUCGCUUCAGCUUCCUUUCACACUUUCUAACCUAUUUUACUCCAAACCUUCUACUCCCUACCUCUUCAUAUUCCUAACCAGGCAUUAACGGCUUCACAAUUGGUCACCUCAACCAUUGCUUGUACUGCUGAGUCGAGCGAUGCAGGAUGAAAGGCGAUGGCUCGGGCAGCAAUGCUCGGAUGCAGGCGAUCCUUACGUUACGGACGGGGGUGCGCUCCCAGUAAACCGUCCGUGACACGGUUUUCCAUGAAGCACAUUAUCUGCACCAAGAAACACGAGCUGAAAAUAAAAUAAAAAUGUUCACA
Molecule: long non-coding RNA, 2279 nt
Organism: Amblyraja radiata (thorny skate)
Lineage: Eukaryota; Metazoa; Chordata; Chondrichthyes; Rajiformes; Rajidae
Exons: 2
Source: RefSeq, a predicted model, not a curated record